RNAcentral lists this ribosomal RNA (128 nucleotides) under Ktedonobacteraceae bacterium. RNAcentral describes it as "partial 16S ribosomal RNA". It matches the Rfam family "Bacterial small subunit ribosomal RNA", at positions 1416 to 1533 of the family's 1533-position model. The record is from RNAcentral. Lineage: Bacteria; Bacillati; Chloroflexota; Ktedonobacteria; Ktedonobacterales; Ktedonobacteraceae.
AACACCUGAAGCCGUCGGGCUAACCCGUAAGGGGGGCAGACGUCGAGGGUGGGGUCGGUGAUUGGGGUGAAGUCGUAACAAGGUAGCCGUACCGGAAGGUGCGGCUGGAUCACCUCCUUUCUAGGGAG